AGAGUUUGAUCAUGGCUCAGAACGUACGCUGGCGGCACGCCUAACACAUGCAAGUCGAACGAAGUAGCAAUACUUAGUGGCAGACGGGUGAGUAACAUGUGGGUAUCUGCCCUUUGGCCUGGAAUAACACGAGGAAACUUGUGCUAAUACUGGAUAAGUCUUUACGGAGAAAGCUUUAUGCACCAUUGGAUGAGCCUGCACUUGAUUAGUUUGUUGGUGGGGUAACGGCCUACCAAGACUGUGAUCAAUAGCUGAUUUGAGAGGAUGAUCAGCCACAUUGGGACUGAGACACGGCCCAAACUCCUACGGGAGGCAGCAGUGGGGAAUCUUGCACAAUGGAGGAAACUCUGAUGCAGCGAUGCCGCGUGAGUGAAGAAGGCCUUUGGGUUGUAAAGCUCUUUCGUCGGGGAAGAAAAUGACUGUACCCGAAUAAGAAGGUCCGGCUAACUUCGUGCCAGCAGCCGCGGUAAUACGAAGGGACCUAGCGUAGUUCGGAAUUACUGGGCUUAAAGAGUUCGUAGGUGGUUGAAAAAGUUGGUGGUGAAAUCCCAGAGCUUAACUCUGGAACUGCCAUCAAAACUUUUCAGCUAGAGUAUGAUAGAGGAAAGCAGAAUUUCUAGUGUAGAGGUGAAAUUCGUAGAUAUUAGAAAGAAUACCAAUUGCGAAGGCAGCUUUCUGGAUCAUUACUGACACUGAGGAACGAAAGCAUGGGUAGCGAAGAGGAUUAGAUACCCUCGUAGUCCAUGCCGUAAACGAUGUGUGUUAGACGUUGGAAAUUUAUUUUCAGUGUCGCAGCGAAAGCGAUAAACACACCGCCUGGGGAGUACGACCGCAAGGUCAAAACUCAAAUGAAUUGACGGGGACCCGCACAAGUAGUGGAGCAUGUGGUUUAAUUCGAAGAUACGCGCAGAACCUUACCAACACUUGACAUGUUCGUCGCGACUUUAAGAGAUUAAAGUUUUCGGUUCGGCCGGACGAAACACAGGUGCUGCAUGGCUGUCGUCAGCUCGUGUCGUGAGAUGUUGGGUUAAGUCCCGCAACGAGCGCAACCCUCACUUUUAGUUGCCAUCAUUAAGUUGGGCACUCUGAAAGAACUGCCAGUGAUAAGCUGGAGGAAGGUGGGGAUGACGUCAAGUCCUCAUGGCCCUUACGUGUUGGGCUACACACGUGCUACAAUGGUAUCUACAACAGGAAGCAAGACGGCGACGUUAAGCAAAUCCUUAAAAGAUACCUCAGUUCGGAUUGCACUCUGCAACUCGAGUGCAUGAAGCUGGAAUUACUAGUAAUCGUGGAUCAGCGUGCCACGGUGAAUGCGUUCCCGGGUCUUGUAGA
RNAcentral lists this ribosomal RNA (1332 nucleotides) under uncultured bacterium. Its description in RNAcentral is "bacterial SSU rRNA". It matches the Rfam family "Bacterial small subunit ribosomal RNA". The record is from RNAcentral.